Molecule: long non-coding RNA, 468 nt
Filed under: Trifolium pratense (red clover)
Lineage: Eukaryota; Viridiplantae; Streptophyta; Magnoliopsida; Fabales; Fabaceae
Description: long non-coding RNA (TPRA_LNC010875)
Source: RNAcentral
ACACCUAAAAAUAUGCUAUUUAUUUAGUUAAUUUACUAUUAUAUUUUAUAUGUUUUUAUUUCGAUUCCGAAGUUUUAUUAUAUAAAUAGUUACUUAUUUCUCAUAUUUUAAAUAAACAGAUAAAAAGUGUACGAGUUGAAGAAAGGAGCGAAAACGGACUAAAAAGGAGCAAGAAUGGACAAAAAUGGGCCACACAAGUGCAGCCAAGCCACACAAGUGCAGCCCAAGCCACGAGCCAGCCAAGCCCACAUGGAAAACAAGAUGGCGCCCGCCAGCAAGGAGCAAAUGGCGCCCGCCAGCUUGCACCAAGUGGCCCUCGCCACUUCCUCUUCAUCAUGGCCGUCCAUCAGAUCAAACGGUGAUGCGCUAUUAAGCUAAAAGUCCCACAUCGGCCAAAUUCUGUCUUUUCCUCUUUGUAUUUUAGUAUAAAUAGGCUAGUUCUCUUCACUCAAAAACAUAACACUUGAC